UGGGGAAUUUUGCACAAUGGGGGAAACCCUGAUGCAGCGACGCCGCGUGAUUUAGAAGGCCUUCGGGUUGUAAAAAUCUUUUCUAUGGGAAGAAAAUGACAGUACCAUAGGAAUAAGGACCGGCUAAUUACGUGCCAGCAGCCGCGGUAAUACGUAAGGUCCGAGCGUUGUCCGGAAUCAUUGGGCGUAAAGGGUACGUAGGCGGGUAAGCAAGUUAGAAGUGAAAUCCUAUAGCUCAACUAUAGUAAGCUUUUAAAACUGCUCAUCUUGAGGGAUGGAAGGGCAAGUGGAAUUCCUAGUGUAGCGGUGAGAUGCGCAGAUAUUAGGAGGAAUACCGGUGGCGAAGGCGACUUUCUGGCCAGAACCUGACGCUGAGGUACGAAAGCGUGGGUAGCAAACAGG
RNAcentral lists this ribosomal RNA (402 nucleotides) under bacterium. RNAcentral describes it as "partial 16S ribosomal RNA". It matches the Rfam family "Bacterial small subunit ribosomal RNA", at positions 355 to 776 of the family's 1533-position model. The record is from RNAcentral.